AAGGCGGCCCCGGGCUAGGGCGAGGCGUUGCUAGGAGACGUUGCUAGGGCGGGGCUCGGGGGACUACGUAUAAAAGGCUGGCGCGGGGUCAGGCUGCCAGCGUUCUGGCCGGGAGCGAUAAAGCGGAGGCGUGGCGCCGCCCAGCGGGCUCGGACUGAGGGCCCGGUAGAGGCGGCGGGGGCUCCCCGGUGGCCAGGCGCGCUCCUCCUCCGUUUCUGCCGGCCGCGCGCCGUGCCUUCUUCCUUCGUCCUGCUGGCACGGUGGGUAGGAUGCUUGGGGCGCAGGGCCAUCGGGGGGCCGGCACGCAGCCCCCACCCUCGGAGGAAGGUCCCUGGUCCGGGAAAGUCCACGGAGGCCCCGAGGUCACUUCGCUGUGGCAGCAGGAACACGAUUGGAGAGCCACAGCCUGUGAUUAGGGAUUCCGACUGUUGUCUUCGCCUCGCUCGUCCUGCAGGGAGAUGGGGAAGAAAGGGCCUUGGUGGGGCUUCCGGUGGCGCCAGAAAAGCUACCCCAGAUGCUGAAGUCGGCGGGUCUAGAGCGCAGCGUUUUGCAGAGUGGCUCUCGCGGGGACCCAGGAUGGAGUCCAUGGGUACCUCACCAAGUCUGGACGGGCAUUCCGGACCCUGGGCAGCUCGCGCCGCUCUGCACUCUCCUCCCCGCUCUCCGUCUUUACUGUGCCUGAACUAGCCACCUUCAAAGAUCCAAGCCCCAAGACUCUUUGUUUAUUCAUGAGUUCUUCUUUCUUGGGAUUAAAAAGGGGAGGGCUAUUUCAAA
This is a long non-coding RNA of Mustela lutreola (European mink), 774 nucleotides long. RefSeq lists it as uncharacterized. Lineage: Eukaryota; Metazoa; Chordata; Mammalia; Carnivora; Mustelidae. The transcript is spliced from 2 exons. The record is from RefSeq and is a predicted model, not a curated record.